Ribosomal RNA from Halomicrobium mukohataei DSM 12286, 122 nucleotides. The record is from Rfam. Lineage: Archaea; Methanobacteriati; Methanobacteriota; Halobacteria; Halobacteriales; Haloarculaceae.
AAAGGCGGCCAUAGCGGCAGGGAAACACCCGUACCCAUCCCGAACACGGACGUUAAGCCUGCCAGCGUUGCGGUGAGUACUGGGGUGUGCGAACCCCUGGGAAAGCCGGUUCGCCGCCUGCC